CAACUUUCAACAACGGAUCUCUUGGCUCUCGCAUCGAUGAAGAACGCAGCGAAAUGCGAUAAGUAAUGUGAAUUGCAGAAUUCAGUGAAUCAUCGAAUCUUUGAACGCACCUUGCGCUCCUUGGUAUUCCGAGGAGCAUGCCUGUUUGAGUGU
This 153-nucleotide ribosomal RNA is filed under the name Calocybe pilosella. RNAcentral's name for it is "5.8S ribosomal RNA". It matches the Rfam family "5.8S ribosomal RNA". Rfam says of the family: 5.8S ribosomal RNA (5.8S rRNA) is a component of the large subunit of the eukaryotic ribosome. It is transcribed by RNA polymerase I as part of the 45S precursor that also contains 18S and 28S rRNA. Functionally, it is thought that 5.8S rRNA may be involved in ribosome translocation. Lineage: Eukaryota; Fungi; Basidiomycota; Agaricomycetes; Agaricales; Lyophyllaceae. The record is from RNAcentral.